UUCCCCUCUCUGAACCCAGCAGCACCAACCCACUCUUCCCCCUUUCCCAAUCAUGCGCAGCCGCAGUGUAUACACAGCUUUCUUCACUAUGGAAGAAAGAAAUAGAAGGAAGGUAGGGGAGGCCUUGCCACCGUCGAUCCACCACCUUGGAGCUCACCAUCGAGCUGCUUUGCGGCGCCAUUCAUGGAGUCACUAGCUCACGUCACCGCCGAUCAUCAUCGAGCCACCGUCAGAAGCCGAACCACAAAGGAGAAGGACGCAAGGCAGGGGCCGACGAGACAGAGGAAGGGCGCGCGUGUAGGAGCUCAGCCGCGGGGAGAGAUGCGCGUCUAAACCCUCGCCGCCAUUGGAGUAGCGCAGAGAGAGACGCGAAGAGGGAGAGCAGUCGCGCAUCCAGAUGCGUCCUCACCGCCGCGGGAGGAAUCGUCGCCGUCAAGCACGGUGGGUGGCAGAGAGACAGAACUCGCGUCUGAGACUGGGAGGAGGUGGGGUUUCACCGCUGUUGGGGUCUCACUGCCGCUGUCCCCGUGAUGGCUGGUGUCGUCGCCGGAGAAGACCACCGGAGUUGCUGUCUGCCUCUGCCUCGGGGUUUUGCAAGUUGUCGGAGUCCACUGCCGCCAGAGCUGCCUAGAACCACUGCUGUGGCUGCCGCUGGGAUUGUGAACGGAAUGAGGAGACGCUGUUUCCGUUACAGCCACUCUUGGAGGAGAAGUCAACCGCGCCACCGUGCCGAGUUGCCGGAGAACCUCGCUGCCGUCGCCGGAGGACUCUUCCGUUGAUCCACCGGAGCUUCUGGCCACCGCCGGAGCUGUUGCUAGGCCGGUUCGAAAUCGCAACUGCUUCGUGUUGUUAUUCCGUGUUGCUAUGGUUAUUGCGAACGUGACUGGGAGCUAAGGUUUUGGUUGCCGUCAGUUCGGGUUGAGGCGGAAAGGACUCUAUGAUGCGUUUGAGUUAUGGAAUUUGCGUUUUAAGGAUUUGGGCGCAGAAGUUAUGAAGAGUUUAAUUAUUUGUUAUUGAGAUGCUCUGUAUGCUUUAGAUUAUUAUUUUUGUACCCUCGCCUUUAUCUUGAUAUAUUCUGUGAGAGGGAUAGGAAUUGUAUUGGUUAAUGUUUGUAAUAUUAUUUAUAUGUAUGUAUGUAUAUACAUGGAUGUACUCUUUACGAGUUUUUAUAAGUUGUAUGAUAUCUAUGGAUGUACGUUAUCGAA
Arachis duranensis is the source of this 1205-nucleotide long non-coding RNA. RefSeq lists it as uncharacterized. Lineage: Eukaryota; Viridiplantae; Streptophyta; Magnoliopsida; Fabales; Fabaceae. The record is from RefSeq and is a predicted model, not a curated record. The transcript has 4 exons.